CAUCUCUGGUUCCUCUGCAUCCAACGAGAAAAUCUUUCGCCUUUUACUAAAGAUUUCCGUGCAGAGGAACGUUUAUGAGUAUACGCCAAUUUUUGGAGUCCCGGCUUCGGCCAGGGAC
Molecule: non-coding RNA, 118 nt
Organism: Ascaris lumbricoides (common roundworm)
Lineage: Eukaryota; Metazoa; Nematoda; Chromadorea; Rhabditida; Ascarididae
Source: Rfam